UGGCAUUGGCGCAGCUACCAUGCAGUCGAGCGGAGAGAGGUGAGCUUGCUACUGAUCUUAGCGGCGGACGGGUGAGUAAUACUUAGGAAUCUGGCUAUUAGUGGGGGACAACAUUUCGAAAGGGAUGCUAAUACCGCAUACGUCCUACGGGAGAAAGCAGGGGAUCUUCGGACCUUGCGCUAAUAGAUGAGCCUAAGUCGGAUUAGCUAGUUGGUGGGGUAAAGGCCUACCAAGGCGACGAUCUGUAGCGGGUCUGAGAGGAUGAUCCGCCACACUGGGACUGAGACACGGCCCAGACUCCUACGGGAGGCAGCAGUGGGGAAUAUUGGACAAUGGGGGGAACCCUGAUCCAGCCAUGCCGCGUGUGUGAAGAAGGCCUUAUGGUUGUAAAGCACUUUAAGCGAGGAGGAGGGUACUGGUAUUAAUACUACCAGGUACUGGACGUUACUCGCAGAAUAAGCACCGGCUAACUCUGUGCCAGCAGCCGCGGUAAUACAGAGGGUGCGAGCGUUAAUCGGAUUUACUGGGCGUAAAGCGUGCGUAGGCGGCUAAUUGAGUCGGAUGUGAAAUCCCCGAGCUUAACUUGGGAAUUGCAUUCGAUACUGGUUAGCUAGAGUGUGGGAGAGGAUGGUAGAAUUCCAGGUGUAGCGGUGAAAUGCGUAAAGAUCUGGAGGAAUACCGAUGGCGAAGGCGGCCAUCUGGCCUAACACUGACGCUAAGGUACGAAAGCAUGGGGAGCAAACAGGAUUAGAUACCCUGGUAGUCCAUGCCGUAAACGAUGUCUACUAGCCCUUGGUCUCUUUGAGGGAUUAUUGGCGCAACUUAAGCGAUAAUUAAACCGCCGGGGGAAUACGGUCCCAAAACUAAAACUCCAAUGAAUUUGACGGGGGCCCCCCCAAACCGGUGGAACCAGGUGGU
This 918-nucleotide ribosomal RNA is filed under the name Acinetobacter sp. RNAcentral describes it as "bacterial SSU rRNA". It matches the Rfam family "Bacterial small subunit ribosomal RNA", at positions 37 to 946 of the family's 1533-position model. The record is from RNAcentral. Lineage: Bacteria; Pseudomonadati; Pseudomonadota; Gammaproteobacteria; Moraxellales; Moraxellaceae.